CAACCCAGUCUUUACCCUGACUUCACAAUGUGCAUCUGCCACUGGUUAGGGAAGUGACAUCAUGCUAUACAUAGGAGUCUUGGGAUGAUUUCAGCAGCAUCAGAAAGACCCAGAUGCCUCAUUCACUUGAAUUAUCAUUCUCUGGUUCAGAGAGAAGAAACAAAGAAUAGAGCACAGUGCUUUUCUAGGAAAAUUGGUUUAACUGAAGAGAAGAAGUCUUUGAUCUAACAAUACACUUUCAAAGCAGAUGUGGACUCCAUUCUACAGAUAAAAACCUCUGAAUGAAUGGUUGCUCUGGGUGAGAAGUAAACCAUGCAGCAACUGCCAAUGGGAACCAGGUCCAAGAAUAUUCUCAGAGCUACAGCAUUUCUGUAUUUCUGUAGCUUCGGAAACACCCUCAGGGUUGGAACUAGGAGGGGGAAAAAAGGAAGAAAAAAAAUCCCUCUGUUAAGUUGUGUAGAUAACUCCUCUAACACUUGCUUCUGGCAAGUUCCCAUGGGGGUGUGAAGCCUUAUCUCAUCCAAUCUGCCUUCAAGCCAGCUGCCUCUGGGACUGCUCUGUACCAGCUGCCUCUCAUCAGUCUGCUGGCCAUUUUGUCCAACAUAUCUAUUCUGCUGCAUUUCAGAGGAAGAGAAAAGGCAAAUGAUUA
This is a non-coding RNA of Ictidomys tridecemlineatus (thirteen-lined ground squirrel), 649 nucleotides long. Lineage: Eukaryota; Metazoa; Chordata; Mammalia; Rodentia; Sciuridae. The record is from RefSeq and is a predicted model, not a curated record.